This is a non-coding RNA of Equus caballus (horse), 1501 nucleotides long. The record is from RefSeq and is a predicted model, not a curated record. Lineage: Eukaryota; Metazoa; Chordata; Mammalia; Perissodactyla; Equidae.
CAAUGUCCAGGGUACAAUCCAAAAAUUACUUGACAUAUGCAGAAUCAGGAAAAUGUGACAUGCCAAUUCUAAGAUAGCUAGAUGCUGAAAUUACCAGACAAGAAUUUUAAAGCAGAUAUUAUAACUAUACGUUUACCUCAGUGAAGAAAAAUACACUUGUGAUGAAUAAAAAGAUGGGAAAUCUCAAAUGAGAAACAGAAAGUAUAAAAAGAACCAAACUCAGGCAGUCUAGCUCAAAAGCCCAUACUCUCAGUCUCUAAACUACAGCUACCUUACUACUGAGCAUCACACACCAAGUCCUCAGUAAAUGCUGGUUAUUCUUAUUAUCAGCCUUUUUAACAAUGACACUGGAAGCCAGAAGAUAAUGGAGCAAUUCUUAAAAAUUCUGAAAGAAUACAAUUUACACAGUUUACAAUUUAGAAACGUCUAACCAAAUAAACUAUCAAUCAAGUGUGAGACUAGAAUAAAGAUACAUGCAAAAUCUUAAAAAUGUAUUUCCCAAGUCCUCUUUUUUGGGAUCUAUUGGAGUAUGUGUUUCAUUAAAAUGAGUAAGUAAACCAAGAAAAAGCAGGACAGGGACUUCAACAAAGGAGAGAAGUGAAGUGAAUUUCAUGCGGAGAAGAAGGUUCUGGAUGCUUGCUGUGCAGCAACCUGAGAGCAAUCUGUCCAGACUGAAGCAGGAGGGCAGAAGCCACCAGGAGGGAUAAGGCACAACCCACACACAUGCACACACGCACGCACACACACACACACGAGAACUGAUAUAUUCCCUGAAGCGUUUGAGUGUAUUGAGAGUAACUUUCUGGCUCUGGUAGAAAAUCUGGGAAUGAAUUCAUGAAUUUACAUACAUUUAAAAAAAGAGGUAAUAAUUAAAUCCAGGAAAAUAAAAGUUAUACAAAAAAGUAAAUAAGAUCAUGGUACAUUAUCUGGUUUGGCUGUAACUUAUAUUUUCAUAGUAGUAAGUACUACUUUGACACAAAUAAAAAUGCAAAAAACAAAAUAGAACAAAACGGCUUGGAUAUUAUUUCAUAACAGUACAUACAUAUCUGCUAUACCUUUUGUUUUCUUUUUUUUAAAUUAUGAAAUAUUUGAAGCAUCCAGGAAAGUAGAGGAAAUAAUAUAUAGAAACGCACGUAUCUGACACCUAGCUUUGAUUUAACCAUAUACACUUCAGGUCUUUUUUUUCAUUUUACAGAAAUGAACAAUUACAGACACAGCUGGAGUCUCCUGCGUACAUGUGGAGACCUCUCCUGAUCUCAUUUCCUUUGCUCUCUCCCCAGAAGUAACCAUGGUCUUGAAUUCGGUGUUUAUCCUUCCCAUAAGUCUUAACCGCCUGCUAUCUACAAGGCCAGGACAAAGCCCAGCUUCUCUCACCUUGCUAUCCAUUCAGCAGUGCCCUCAAAGAGGUCUGGCGUGAUGAUAUUGGUCAGAGAAGCUACCGAGGCGGCACAGUAUGCACUUCUGGAGGGACAGAAAGAGAGGGAAAAGUGUUAAGCUUCAA